UGGGAACUUUCCUGCCAGCGUUUCAGAAGAGUGGAGAACAGGCCUACGUGAAUGCUCGAACGUCUGAGAACAGGCCUACGUGAAUGCUCGCACGUCUGUGCAAUCCUGCCUGGCUGGUAGCUCCAAUAGUGCUUACACUCUUCAUCUCCUGACGGGAUUGAUUUGCUCUGUUUUAACCUCCAACCACUGGAGGAAAGAGGGGGUGUGCUACAGUGAGCUUUAACAUCACAGCCUCACACAGCCAAGAGACAAAGAGCUUCAGAAAGGACGACACCACCAAAACCCAAAGCAACAACUACAGAAACUCAGCACUAUGCUCUGAAUCCCCUAUUCCAAGCCUCUGGCGUCCGCUCAAUGUGGCCCUUUCUGCAGUUAUGUGAUUUUCGCUCUGCACAGUCCACAAAGGAACGAUAGCUUGCAUACGUGGCUGCUUAAACAUCCUAGAAACUCCUGGCCUUCUUGAUUCUUGGGAGCAUGGGAGGGCCAAUUAAAAGAGUCAACCAAUCUGA
RNAcentral lists this long non-coding RNA (509 nucleotides) under Mus musculus (house mouse). Its description in RNAcentral is "predicted gene, 34853". The record is from RNAcentral. Lineage: Eukaryota; Metazoa; Chordata; Mammalia; Rodentia; Muridae.